GCCCCGAUAGUCUAGCCCGGUUAAGGACAAUGGCCUCUCACGCCAUAGACCCGGGUUCGAAUCCCGGUCGGGGCA
This 75-nucleotide transfer RNA is filed under the name Microcaldota archaeon. RNAcentral describes it as "tRNA-Glu". It matches the Rfam family "tRNA". From Rfam's summary of the family: Transfer RNA (tRNA) molecules are approximately 80 nucleotides in length. Their secondary structure includes four short double-helical elements and three loops (D, anti-codon, and T loops). Further hydrogen bonds mediate the characteristic L-shaped molecular structure. tRNAs have two regions of fundamental functional importance: the anti-codon, which is responsible for specific mRNA codon recognition, and the 3' end, to which the tRNAs corresponding amino acid is attached (by aminoacyl-tRNA synthetases). tRNAs cope with the degeneracy of the genetic code in two manners: having more than one tRNA (with a specific anti-codon) for a particular amino acid; and 'wobble' base-pairing, i.e. permitting non-standard base-pairing at the 3rd anti-codon position. Lineage: Archaea; Nanobdellati; Microcaldota. The record is from RNAcentral.